AGUGAACGCUGGCGGUAGGCCUAACACAUGCAAGUCGAACGGCAGCACAGUAAGAUCUUGCUCUUACUGGUGGCGAGUGGCGGACGGGUGAGGAAUACAUCGGAAUCUACUUUUUCGUGGGUGAUAACGUAGGGAAACUUCCGCUAAUACCUCAUACGACCUACGGGUGAAAGCAGGGGAUCUUCGCACCUUGCGCGAUUGAAUGAGCCGAUGUCGGAUUAGCUAGUUGGCGGGGUAAAGGCCCACCAAGGCGACGAUCCGUAGCUGGUCUGAGAGGAUGAUCGGCCACACUGGAACUGAGACACGGUCCAGACUCCUACGGGAGGCAGCAGUAGGGAAUAUUGGACAAUGGGCGAAAGCCUGAUCCAGCAAUACCGCGUGAGUGAAGAAGGCCUUCGGGUUGUAAAGCCCUUUUGUUGGGAAAGAAAAGAAGCAGGUGAAUACGCCGCUGUUCUGACGGCACCCAAAGAAUAAGCACCGGCUAACUUCGUG
RNAcentral lists this ribosomal RNA (492 nucleotides) under uncultured bacterium. Its description in RNAcentral is "partial 16S ribosomal RNA". It matches the Rfam family "Bacterial small subunit ribosomal RNA", at positions 29 to 507 of the family's 1533-position model. The record is from RNAcentral.